UACGUAGGGUGCAAGCGUUGUCCGGAAUUAUUGGGCGUAAAGAGCUCGUAGGCGGUUUGUCGCGUCUGCCGUGAAAGUCCGGGGCUCAACUCCGGAUCUGCGGUGGGUACGGGCAGACUAGAGUGAUGUAGGGGAGACUGGAAUUCCUGGUGCAGCGGUGAAAUGCGCAGAUAUCAGGAGGAACACCGAUGGCGAAGGCAGGUCUCUGGGCAUUAACUGACGCUGAGGAGCGAAAGCAUGGGGAGCGAACAGG
Molecule: ribosomal RNA, 253 nt
Filed under: uncultured bacterium
Lineage: Bacteria
Description: partial 16S ribosomal RNA
Rfam family: Bacterial small subunit ribosomal RNA
Source: RNAcentral